Molecule: ribosomal RNA, 468 nt
Filed under: uncultured bacterium
Lineage: Bacteria
Description: partial 16S ribosomal RNA
Rfam family: Bacterial small subunit ribosomal RNA
Source: RNAcentral
GACGAACGCUGGCAGCGUGCUUAACACAUGCAAGUCGAACGGAAAGGCCCUGCUUUUGUGGGGUGCUCGAGUGGCGAACGGGUGAGUAACACGUGAGUAACCUGCCCUUGACUUUGGGAUAACUUCAGGAAACUGGGGCUAAUACCGGAUAGGAGCUCCUGCUGCAUGGUGGGGGUUGGAAAGUUUCGGCGGUUGGGGAUGGACUCGCGGCUUUUCAGCUUGUUGGUGGGGUAGUGGCUUACCAAGGCUUUGACGGGUAGCCGGCCUGAGAGGGUGACCGGCCACAUUGGGACUGAGAUACGGCCCAGACUCCUACGGGAGGCAGCAGUGGGGAAUAUUGCACAAUGGGCGGAAGCCUGAUGCAGCAACGCCGCGUGCGGGAUGACGGCCUUCGGGUUGUAAACCGCUUUCGCCUGUGACGAAGCGUGAGUGACGGUAAUGGGUAAAGAAGCACCGGCUAACUACGUG